This is a long non-coding RNA of Adelges cooleyi (spruce gall adelgid), 394 nucleotides long. RefSeq lists it as uncharacterized. The record is from RefSeq and is a predicted model, not a curated record. NCBI's taxonomy places the organism in Eukaryota, Metazoa, Arthropoda, Insecta, Hemiptera, Adelgidae. The transcript is spliced from 8 exons.
AGUUGAUACAGUCGAUAAGGACGACAGAGCACGUAUUAUGAAAGCUGUAUCAACUGCAGUAACUGAUGGUUACAGUUACAUUAACCAACACGAAAAAACAUAUGGUAAACCAAAAGGUGCUAAUCCCGGAGGAAGUGGUAGUAUAAAUGGCAAUAGUAACAAAGGAACCUUAACAAUUGAAUGCCCGUAUUGUAAAGUUAACAACUUGCUAAGUGGACUAAACUGCACGAAUUGUCAUGAACGGCUUCAUCAGUAACAUAUGUAAGUGCUAAAUAUAGGGUUAUUAAAUUUUUUUGUGGUUUGAAUGAACGAUUAUUUAUUAUACAUUUUGUUUUUUUUUUGUUAUAAUUUAAUAUACGUUAUAAUAUUUUUAACUAUUGUAUUCAAACGCAUC